Molecule: small nucleolar RNA, 171 nt
Organism: Vigna angularis (adzuki bean)
Lineage: Eukaryota; Viridiplantae; Streptophyta; Magnoliopsida; Fabales; Fabaceae
Rfam family: small nucleolar RNA snoR127
Source: Rfam
CUGGAAUGAUGUGACUUAGCCAAAUCAUAUAAUGUGCUCCAUGUGGGAACAAACAUUGUUUCCAAAGCUUGCUCUCACUUAAAACUCAAGCUUUGGUUGAUGUUGAUGGACCUCAUGUUGAAGUGCAUUUCCCUGAUGAUAUACCAGGAGAUUGGUUGUUGCCUGACCAGA